GCCCCCUUAGCUCAGUCGGCAGAGCGACGCCAUGGUAAGGCGUAGGUCCGCGGUUCGAUUCCGCGAGGGGGCU
Molecule: transfer RNA, 73 nt
Filed under: Actinomycetota bacterium
Lineage: Bacteria; Bacillati; Actinomycetota
Also listed under: 1 other name
Description: tRNA-Thr
Rfam family: tRNA
About the family: Transfer RNA (tRNA) molecules are approximately 80 nucleotides in length.
Source: RNAcentral